GAUGAAGAACGUAGCGAAAUGCGAUAAGUAAUGUGAAUUGCAGAAUUCAGUGAAUCAUCGAAUCUUUGAACGCACCUUGCGCCCCUUGGUUAUUCCAAAGGGCAUGCCUGUUUGAGUAUCAUGAACACCUCAACUCUUGUGGUUUCCCACAAUGAGCUUGGACUGUGGAGGUUUUGUUGGCCCUGUGGUCAGCUCCUCUCAAAUGGAUCAGCUUACCGGUGUUUGGUGGCAUUACGGGUGUGAUAACUAUCUACGCUCGUGGUCGUCUCCAAAUAACCUCCAGUGAUGGAGGUUCGCUGGAGCUUAUAAAUGUCUCUCCCCAGUGAAGACAGCCUUUGAAUGUUCGAUCUCAAAUCAGGUAGGACUACCCGCUGAACUUAAGCAUAUCAAUAAGCGGAGGA
This 401-nucleotide unclassified non-coding RNA is filed under the name soil metagenome. RNAcentral describes it as "partial contains 5.8S ribosomal RNA, internal transcribed spacer 2, and large subunit ribosomal RNA". The stretch from base 1 to 121 matches the Rfam family "5.8S ribosomal RNA", at positions 35 to 154 of the family's 154-position model. The record is from RNAcentral.